This is a non-coding RNA of Camellia sinensis, 1245 nucleotides long. Lineage: Eukaryota; Viridiplantae; Streptophyta; Magnoliopsida; Ericales; Theaceae. The record is from RefSeq and is a predicted model, not a curated record.
UGACUACUAUUAGCUCAAGUAUGCUAGAAACCAAUCAAAAAGUCCCUAUGUGAAUGUAUUCCAAUGACUAUGAAAAUUUGAUUAUUUUGAAACUGAUAUUAAUAUGCCAAAUUUAGAAGGAAAUUACAUCAUGCUAUAUCUCAUUAUUAAUUACGAAUACUAACAUCUUGUCAGGAAAAUGUUUUUCAUUAAACAUACUGGUUUUCUUGGCCUUUCGGGGAAGAGUGCAGACGCAAUUGAUUUUUAUACGUCUGAGAUCGAGAGACUAUCAAAAGAAAUCUCAAAAUCAACCAGCGAAGAUGUUGAGCAUCCUGCUGCAAAGGUGGAAGAAUAAAGCAUCCAUUUGGCUGAGCUUCAAGAUCGAGAAGUUGGAAAUGGGACAACUUUUGUGGUUAUUAUAUCAGUCAAGUGAUCCAGCAAAUAAUAAUGCAUGGAAAGAUAAAGGCACUGGUUAGCUUUUUAUCAAAUGUAAAUAGGGUGUUAACAAGGGCACAACAGAAUUCAAGCCAACAAUUCUUGUUCGAAAUGAUGAGGAUUUUUUUUACCAAGAAUGCCAACCCCUUGGAACAUAUAUUUAAAAUUUUCUUCGGCCCAAAAAAUGUCGAUGACUAGAGAAAGAAAACUGUUGAGGUUUGAUUUUCUGCUUGGGAAGUCUCAGAGGCAGCAAAAAGUAUUUCUGAGUAAAUUGGAUUAUAACAAGAAUUAUUUUAUUCUAAUCCAACACUUUUUUUUUUUUAGCCUAGUUGAACGACUCUGAAGAACAUUAAGAGUUUCAAGCACAAAAAAUGACAAAAAAAAAAAAAAUAAAUAGAAAUUCACUUGGAUUUGGCUUGUACAACGUAGUCAGAUUUUUGGAAAGAUCCUAAAUCAUAAUGAUGCACUAUUUAUAAAUGUCAUUGAAAACUAUUUACGAUGGUAAUAAGAUGGUCGCUAAUACAUUGUAGGGUGUAUUUUUUUUUUUUUUCCUUUGCGACGGCAAAACAUCAGUUGCCAUAAAGUAGGUUAGGUGGUCGCAAAUAGUUUGCGAUUGCUGUUUUGCGGUCGCAAAAAGCAUUUGCGACCCCUACAUUUGCGACCCCCAUAUGCCGUCACUUGGGUCAUCGCAAAAAGUCUUUUGCGACUGUAUUUUUAUUAUUUGCGUCUGUUUGUAACGGUCGCAAAAAGUAUUUUUUUUAGUAGUGUUUUAUGUUUAAGAUCAAGAUUGGAUCGUUUAAUCUGGUCAAUGGACAUAUUUUUGGGUCUCAU